GGGGCGGAGAGUGCAAUUGACAUGCAGUGGAUUGAGGCCACUGAGCAUCCUACAGCGCUGCUAGGACAAUGCUGCUCAACACCCCACAAUGCACAGGGCAGUCUCCACAACACAGACUGUGGUGUGUGUGUUUGGAGGGCGUGUCUCAAGGAAGAGAAGUAAAAUACAAUACAAAACAAAACCUCGUUGUUGAGUAUUAAGCAAUGCAAACAAAAGCAGGGAAGAGGCGAGGCACAGAAAACAAGAGAAGUCUGACGUGCAAACCAUGAUUCAUGUAGGUCACAGAAAUCAUUUACCUUCAAUUGUGUUUGGCAUAAUGUUGAACUAAAGUUGAAAUCAGUGCAUUCUGUACACAUUAGACUGUCUUCUGCUCCCUAGCACAGUGUCUACCAUCCAUGUGCAUCCUCUCUGCUCCAAGAAUAGACAGAGAACAAAUUCACACAGACUCAUUUGCACAGAAUCCCAUGUAUAGCUUGAGUCUUUCUGUUUCUUUCUUAAGGCCCUCAUCAAAGCCUGUGUGGAGUCAGUCUUUUUUCUCUACUGGACUAUAAGCUUUCACCAGAGUCCACCCCAAACUGUACAUGGUUCUAUGGGUUUUAUCAACAAUGUAAGACUGGAAACCUCUUGAAGGUAGAUGUUUCUUUGCAGGUCACUGCUGUCUGCCCACGUCAUUUUUUCAGGCACAGGGCAGAUGACUGACACUUUGAUGAAUUAGCGAAUGGAGCAGAACUCCUGGAGCCCAUGGUGGAAGCUUCAUUGCUCAUGAAUCACAAAACCAUUGGUUUUGAUAGAGAGAAAUCUAAAGGGAUGGACAGAACAGCAAGAACAGUUUCUGCCAAAUUCCAUGCUUUGGGGACAGAUUAUGUCAGUAGAAUCAAGGCAGUUUAAGGUUGUGCUUGAAGCCCAUCUUACUAAUUUUACUAAUAGGAAUGCUUACCUGCUUAUAAGUGUGGUGUGGCAAAGUUGUGUGAGAAGCUGGGAAAGACAUCCCUAGGACAAGUAAACACCUUGCCAAAUCCCAAAUAAAGGGAAGUGGUAGGACUGGAAAGGAAAUGGAUAUUCUGUGGAAGAAACACUUUGUCAUCCCAGACAGGGAUUUGUCAUAAUGAAGCCUUUCCUGGAAAGAAGUGUUAAAACUAGGGCAUGUAGAGGUAUGUCAUGGACCUGAGAAUCUCAAAAUUUGAAGAAUAAAGAACCAAGCAGGUACACGUGGCAAAAAAAAAAAAAAAA
RNAcentral lists this long non-coding RNA (1230 nucleotides) under Homo sapiens (human). RNAcentral describes it as "non-protein coding lnc-ZCCHC2-4:1". Lineage: Eukaryota; Metazoa; Chordata; Mammalia; Primates; Hominidae. The record is from RNAcentral.